AUACGGAGGGUGCAAGCGUUAUUCGGAAUCACUGGGCGUAAAGGACGCGUAGGCGGGUUGGCAAGACAGAUGUGAAAUCCUACAGCUUAACUGUAGAACUGCAUUUGAAACUGCUAACCUAGAGUAUGGGAGGGGGAGAUGGAAUUAGUGGUGUAGGGGUAAAAUCCGUAGAUAUCACUAGGAAUACCGAAAGCGAAGGCGAUCUCCUGGAACAUAACUGACGCUAAGGCGUGAAAGCGUGGGCAGCAAACAGGAUUAGAAACCCUUGUAGUCC
Molecule: ribosomal RNA, 274 nt
Filed under: uncultured bacterium
Lineage: Bacteria
Description: partial 16S ribosomal RNA
Rfam family: Bacterial small subunit ribosomal RNA
Source: RNAcentral